Molecule: long non-coding RNA, 350 nt
Organism: Macadamia integrifolia
Lineage: Eukaryota; Viridiplantae; Streptophyta; Magnoliopsida; Proteales; Proteaceae
Exons: 3
Source: RefSeq, a predicted model, not a curated record
CACCUCUCACCUAUUUUCAAAGGAGAGCAUCCCCAACCCAACCAAUGUAGACGUAGGAGGGAAGAGCUCCCUCUCCAUUCCUGUGAGACUUUGAAGCUUUGCCAUUGAAGUGUCCAACCAAAUCCCUGCAAAACGAGAGGAAGAGUAGUAAAUUCACAAGACCAGGAAAUUCUCUCUGGUACCUAAAGGAGCUCUAGCAGCAAAUAGGUCAGCCUUGAAAAGAUACAUGUUGAAGCUUAUUAGAGAAUCAGGGCAAUUUGGGUUGACUACUCAAUUUCCUUGGAAUGGGUGGUCUCGGCAAUUUGAUGACUUCUUCUAUGCCCUCACUCAUGAUAGCAACUUGUGAAAUU